GUCAUGGAGCUCUAUGGCCAAGGCGGGCAGAGUGCACCUGAGCCAGUGUCUUCCUGCCAUGGCCAAGGCAGGUGGAGCGCACCUGAGCCAGCGUCUUCCUGCCAUGGCCAAGGUGGGCGGAGUGCACCUGAGCCAGUGUCAUGCUGCCAUGCCCAAGGUGAGUGGAGUGCACCUGAU
RNAcentral lists this microRNA precursor (177 nucleotides) under Callithrix jacchus (white-tufted-ear marmoset). RNAcentral's name for it is "microRNA cja-mir-9940 precursor". Lineage: Eukaryota; Metazoa; Chordata; Mammalia; Primates; Cebidae. The record is from miRBase by way of RNAcentral.